UACGGCCUACGGGAGGCAGCAGUGGGGAAUAUUGCACAAUGGGGGGAACCCUGAUGCAGCAACGCCGCGUGAGUGAAGAAGUAUUUCGGUAUGUAAAGCUCUAUCAGCAGGGAAGAAGAUGACGGUACCUGAGUAAGAAGCCCCGGCUAACUACGUGCCAGCAGCCGCGGUAAUACGUAGGGGGCAAGCGUUAUCCGGAUUUACUGGGUGUAAAGGGAGCGUAGACGGCGAGGCAAGUCUGGAGUGAAAGCCCGGGGCUCAACCCCGGGACUGCUUUGGAAACUGCCUGGCUGGAGGGCUGGAGG
RNAcentral lists this ribosomal RNA (305 nucleotides) under uncultured bacterium. Its description in RNAcentral is "bacterial SSU rRNA". It matches the Rfam family "Bacterial small subunit ribosomal RNA", at positions 334 to 655 of the family's 1533-position model. The record is from RNAcentral.